GAGUUUGAUCAUGGCUCAGAUUGAACGCUGGCGGCAUGCCUUACACAUGCAAGUCGAACGGCAGCAUGAUCUAGCUUGCUAGAUUGAUGGCGAGUGGCGAACGGGUGAGUAAUACAUCGGAACGUGCCCUGUAGUGGGGGAUAACUAGUCGAAAGAUUAGCUAAUACCGCAUACGACCUGAGGGUGAAAGUGGGGGACCGCAAGGCCUCAUGCUAUAGGAGCGGCCGAUGUYUGAUUAGCUAGUUGGUGGGGUAAAGGCCCACCAAGGCGACGAUCAGUAGCUGGUCUGAGAGGACGAUCAGCCACACUGGGACUGAGACACGGCCCAGACUCCUACGGGAGGCAGCAGUGGGGAAUUUUGGACAAUGGGCGAAAGCCUGAUCCAGCAAUGCCGCGUGUGUGAAGAAGGCCUUCGGGUUGUAAAGCACUUUUGUCCGGAAAGAAAUGGCUCUGGUUAAUACCUGGGGUCGAUGACGUACUGAAGAUUUGUUU
This 492-nucleotide ribosomal RNA is filed under the name uncultured beta proteobacterium. Its description in RNAcentral is "bacterial SSU rRNA". The record is from RNAcentral. Lineage: Bacteria; Pseudomonadati; Pseudomonadota; Betaproteobacteria.